Molecule: ribosomal RNA, 2899 nt
Filed under: Clostridioides difficile
Lineage: Bacteria; Bacillati; Bacillota; Clostridia; Peptostreptococcales; Peptostreptococcaceae
Description: 23S ribosomal RNA
Rfam family: Bacterial large subunit ribosomal RNA
Source: RNAcentral
UGGUCAAGUUAUUAAGGGUGCAGGGCGGAUGCCUUGGCACUAGGAGCCGAUGAAGGACGUGAUAAGCUGCGAUAAGCUUCGGGGAGUUGCACGUAAACUUUGAUCCGAAGAUUUCCGAAUGAGGAAACUCACUUAGAGUAAUGUCUAAGUAUCAUUAAGUGAAUACAUAGCUUAAUGAGGGGAACUCAGGGAACUGAAACAUCUAAGUACCUGAAGGAAGAGAAAGAAAUUCGAUUCCGUAAGUAGCGGCGAGCGAACGCGGAUUAGCCCAAACCAAUAAAGUUUUCUUUAUUGGGGUUGCGGACAUAUCAUAACGAAGAGGUAUCGUAAUUGAAGAGGUUUGGAAAGACCCACCACAGAAGGUAAUAGUCCUGUAUGUUAAACGAGAAGACUUUAGAUAUGAUCCAGAGUACCACGGGACACGUGAAACCCUGUGGGAAGCAGGAGGGACCACCCUCCAAGGCUAAAUACUACCUAGUGACCGAUAGCGUAUAGUACCGUGAGGGAAAGGUGAAAAGAACCCCGGGAGGGGAGUGAAAUAGAACCUGAAACCCUGCACUUACAAGCUGUGGAAGCACAUUUCUUGUGUGACCGCGUACUUUUUGUAGAACGGGCCAACGAGUUACGUUAAGUAGCAAGGUUAAGCACUUAAGGUGCGGAGCCGUAGCGAAAGCGAGUUUUAACUGAGCGUUCAGUUACUUGACGUAGACCCGAAACCGGGCGACCUACCCAUGAGCAGGAUGAAGCGAAAGUAAAAUUUCGUGGAGGUCCGAACCCACGAGCGUUGAAAAGCUCGGGGAUGACUUGUGGGUAGCGGUGAAAUUCCAAUCGAGCCCGGAGAUAGCUGGUUCUCCCCGAAAUAGCUUUAGGGCUAGCCUCAAGGUGAGAGAUACGGAGGUAGAGCACUGAAUGUCCUAGGGGGUAUUGCACCUACCGAAGACUAUCAAACUCCGAAUGCCGUCAUCUUAUACUUGGGAGUCAGACUGUGGGUGAUAAGAUUCAUAGUCGAAAGGGCAACAGCCCAGAUCGUCAGCUAAGGUCCCUAAAUGUAAGUUAAGUGGUAAAGGAUGUGGGAUUGCACAGACAACCAGGAUGUUGGCUUAGAAGCAGCCACUCAUUCAAAGAGUGCGUAAUAGCUCACUGGUCGAGUGAUCCUGCGCCGAAGAUUUCCGGGGCUAAAACUUACUACCGAAGCUACGGCAUCAGUAAUGAUGGGUAGGGGAGCUUCCCAUACGGGUUGAAGCAUGACCGUAAGGACAUGUGGACAGUAUGGGAGUGAGAAUGUUGGCAUGAGUAGCGAGAUGUGGGUGAGAAUCCCACAGGCCGUAAACCCAAGGUUUCCAGGGGAAGGUUCGUCCGCCCUGGGUUAGUCGGGACCUAAGCUGAGGCCGAAAGGCGUAGGUGAUGGACAACAGGUUGAUAUUCCUGUACUACCGAUAACCGUUUGAGAGAUGGGAUGACACAGUAGGAUAAGCUAAGCACACUGUUGGUUAUGUGUGCCCAAGCAUUGAGGCAGUCAAAGUAGGCAAAUCCGCUUUGAUAAUGCUGGGAUGUGAUGGGGAGCGAAAUUUAGUAGCGAAGUAGCUGAUUUCACACUGUCAAGAAAAGUCUCUAUCGAGGUUAAAGGUACCCGUACCGCAAACCGACACAGGUGGGUGAGGAGAGUAUCCUAAGGCCAGCGAGAGAACUGUUGUUAAGGAACUCGGCAAAAUGACCCCGUAACUUAGGGAUAAGGGGUGCCACCAUCAGGUGGCCGCAGAGAAUAGGCCCAAGCGACUGUUUACCAAAAACAUAGGUUUCUGCUAAGUCGCAAGACGAUGUAUAGGAGCUGACGCCUGCCCGGUGCUGGAAGGUUAAGGGGAUCUGUUAGAGCAAUCGAAGCAGUGAACUUAAGCCCCAGUAAACGGCGGCCGUAACUAUAACGGUCCUAAGGUAGCGAAAUUCCUUGUCGGGUAAGUUCCGACCCGCACGAAAGGCGUAACGAUUUGGGCACUGUCUCAACAACAGACUCGGUGAAAUUGUAAUUCCGGUGAAGAUGCCGGAUACCUGCGACAGGACGGAAAGACCCCAUGGAGCUUUACUGUAGCUUGACAUUGGGUCUUGGUACUACAUGUACAGGAUAGGUGGGAGGCUUUGAAACCAGGACGCCAGUUUUGGCGGAGCCAUCCUUGGGAUACCACCCUUGUAGUACUGGGACUCUAACCAUAGGCCAUGAAUCUGGUCUUGGGACACUGUCAGGUGGGCAGUUUGACUGGGGCGGUCGCCUCCCAAAAGGUAACGGAGGCGCUCAAAGGUUCUCUCAGUACGGUCGGAAAUCGUACGUAGAGUGUAAAGGCAAAAGAGAGCUUGAUUGCAAGACAUACAGGUCGAGCAAGGAUGAAAAUCGGACUUAGUGAUCCGGUGGUUCUGCGUGGAAGGGCCAUCGCUCAACGGAUAAAAGCUACCCUGGGGAUAACAGGCUUAUCUCCCCAAGAGUCCACAUCGACGGGGAGGUUUGGCACCUCGAUGUCGGCUCAUCACAUCCUGGGGCUGUAGUAGGUCCCAAGGGUUGGGCUGUUCGCCCAUUAAAGUGGUACGCGAGCUGGGUUCAGAACGUCGUGAGACAGUUCGGUCCCUAUCCGUCGCAGGCGUAGGAAAUUUGAGAAGACCUGUCCUUAGUACGAGAGGACCGGGAUGGACGUACCUCUGGUGUACCAGUUGUCCUGCCAAGGGCAUGGCUGGGUAGCUAUGUACGGAAUGGAUAAGCGCUGAAAGCAUCUAAGCGCGAAGCCAACUUCAAGAUAAGAUUUCCCACCGCAAGGGUAAGACCCCAGAAAGACUAUCUGGUUGAUAGGUCGAAGGUGUAAGUGCAGCAAUGUAUUUAGCUUAUCGAUACUAAUAGGUCGAGGACUUGACCAAU